UCCUGAUCGAGGGCGGGACCUCGUGCGUCUGGGGACUGCUGAGUAAUUUAUCCUCUGCGGGCGUUGCCGGUGGAACAAUGCCGGAGUUGUGGUAGACCUGAGACCUUGCUAAAUCUCCCAAGAAAAGGAUUAUUGGUCUGAUGAUCUGACCGCCUGGGUGGGCCAGGGAAUCCCACCGAGGAAAGGCCGAAAAAAUGAUAGAAAAAAGGGUUCUCAGGACAGUUAGGAACAGAUUAAACCAAAAGUAAAUCAUACUUUUAUAUAGCUCAUUACGUUUACAGCGCUGUUUCAUGAUUCUUGUAUUUGAACACUGCACAUUCAUAAAGAGUAUCCGUUUCUUUUCCAAGCUUUGUUGUAGUCUAGGGACGCCUUAUUUCUGUGGAUAUCAAUUCAUUCAUUCAACAUUAUGGCAGGCUUUCUGUAUACCAGUACACUUCUAGGCACCAGAGAUAAAUAGCAGUGGAUAAAGCAAAUAAUAUUUCUUUCUCGGGAAAGUUAUAAUACAGCCAAAGGAAUAAUCAAAUAUCAGUCACUUUGGAGGAUGCCAUAUAUGACAUGCACAAUCCUAUAAUGAAGCUGAGAUGGAUGCUCACUUGGCCCUGUGAGCUGCAGCAGCCAUGGCCAGCCAGUCACAGGGGAUCCAGCAGCUGUAGGCCGAGAAGCAGGCCGCAGAGGAGGUGUUGGAGGCUUGCAAGCACCUUGGGAUCCCACGGCAGGUGCAGCAAUGAAGUGGAGAAAGAGACCCAGGAGAAGAUGACCAUCCUCCAGACCUACUUUCGGCAGAACAGGGAAAAAAUUCUGGAUAACCUCUUGGCCUUCAUCUGCGACAUCUGGCCAAAAAUUCCAUGAAAACUACUGCAACA
Molecule: RNA transcript, 863 nt
Organism: Fukomys damarensis (Damara mole-rat)
Lineage: Eukaryota; Metazoa; Chordata; Mammalia; Rodentia; Bathyergidae
Gene name: V-type proton ATPase subunit G 1-like
Exons: 3
Source: RefSeq, a predicted model, not a curated record